Molecule: long non-coding RNA, 1327 nt
Organism: Topomyia yanbarensis
Lineage: Eukaryota; Metazoa; Arthropoda; Insecta; Diptera; Culicidae
Exons: 2
Source: RefSeq, a predicted model, not a curated record
GCAUAAUGAUUUACAUAAGCACAGUCGCAUGAAAGGUAUAAAGAUGGCUUAAAAAUUUCAUUAGCAUGACUUAUGAAAAUUCUAAGUGACUCGAUGGCCAUUUUUUCCUCCGAGUCAUAAGUCAAACUUAUGAUUUUCAUAUGGGAUACUUGUGGCGCCGAAUCAUAAGUGAUUCUUAUGGAAUUCAUUAGUUAUUUUAUCUCGGUGUACUUUUACCAAUAUUUUUCUCUGUGUGGGUCAAAUCUCGAGUGGGUUUUCAAUCAGGUGUAAGUCACCAAAUGUAAACAAAGCGAGUUUUUGGUGCAAGUGUUUUAAAAAAUCGCAAAAGUCCUCCUAAUUUAGCUAAUUAUAAUUGAUUACUAAAGAUGUUUGAAGUUAUUUUUGCAAACCGAUAAAACUUUCCUGUUCACACUUUUCAGAAUUAUUGCGGAUACGCCACAUUGAUAACGAACCGAUGUAUCUGUCAAAUUGACCAGCUGGUAGCUGUGCAGAAAGUGCAGAUACGUAAGCGAAGUAUAAAAGUUUUGCACCUAGUCGAACUUCGUUACUAAAAUGUAUACAAACGCGAGUGAGUAUUUUGUUAUCGGUUACUUCUGUACUUUCCGUACGAGUACAUUUACCCGAAGCAGUACGCGUACACAUGCUGGAGCUGAAACGAACUUUCGGUGUAAAAGUGUCCUGUGAAGAUGUUCUCGAGGAUGGGUAAUACGAUCACCAUGCUCUGCACUUUGUUCGUAAGCUGACCUACUGUUCGCGUACCGUGCUGGAGGUCUAAAUAAUUAUCGCUGAACUCAUAUGUACUACGGGAAUGAGAUAGGCGUGAUGCCACAUAUCACGGGGUUGAUUUUUAGUUCGCGAAAUAAAUGCAAUGUGCGACGGAAAUAUUGUCGAUGCCAAGUGCUCCGGUAUGACGGCCCUAUACCCAGAAGCGAAACUCAACGGAAGCGUUUAUUGUGGAGACUGGUACCUCACGAAGCUUUCCAAAAGGAUUGAAAGGAGCCUAAAAUACCGCUGGGGGUUCAUUCGAUUGAUGAUUUGAACGACUUUGGAGUUGUGAUCAAUCAGGCGCAGCUGGCCGUUUAUUGCAUGUUUCUAAAGAAAUAUUUUUAAAUUAAAAAAUAUAUUUUGGUCGGAGCAUUGUUUUCUUUGAACUCUAAGGCCCGAUUUCUUCACCCUCGCUUAACUUCUAAACCCAGUACACCAGUAUAUUUAAACCUGGCUUAAGCGUUAAGCGAGGGUAAAGAAAUCGGCCUUAAGAGGAAUAGUAGAGAGUGUUACCUGUUCAAGUGAUGAUGCGAAUAGAAUUAAAAUAAAAUUGUGUCUGUGA